Molecule: ribosomal RNA, 254 nt
Filed under: uncultured bacterium
Lineage: Bacteria
Description: partial 16S ribosomal RNA
Rfam family: Bacterial small subunit ribosomal RNA
Source: RNAcentral
UACAGAGGGUGCAAGCGUUAAUCGGAAUUACUGGGCGUAAAGGGCGCGUAGGCGGUCAGCACAAGUCAGUUGUGAAAUCUCCGGGCUUAACCCGGAAAGGUCAACUGAUACUGUGCGACUAGAGUGCGGAAGGGGCAACUGGAAUUCUCGGUGUAGCGGUGAAAUGCGUAGAUAUCUGGAGGAAUACCGGUGGCGAAGGCGGCAUCCUGGACCGAGAUUGACGCUGAGGAGCGAAAGCUAGGGGAGCAAACGGG